This 72-nucleotide transfer RNA is filed under the name Heliconius melpomene (postman butterfly). Its description in RNAcentral is "tRNA HMEL012866". It matches the Rfam family "tRNA". From Rfam's summary of the family: Transfer RNA (tRNA) molecules are approximately 80 nucleotides in length. Lineage: Eukaryota; Metazoa; Arthropoda; Insecta; Lepidoptera; Nymphalidae. The record is from RNAcentral.
GAAUUUAUGGCUUAGUGGUCAGAGCAUCUGGAUAAUAUCCAGAAGGCUUGGGUUCGAGUCCCGCUACAUCUA